RNAcentral lists this unclassified non-coding RNA (4455 nucleotides) under Hevea brasiliensis (rubber tree). The record is from RNAcentral. Lineage: Eukaryota; Viridiplantae; Streptophyta; Magnoliopsida; Malpighiales; Euphorbiaceae.
GAGAACUUCUGGUGCCAUCCACUCGGGCUUACAUCGUAAAGGCAUUCAAUCAGAAAAGGCAUCAAGGUAAGAUCAAUACACAAACUGUACACUGUCCAUAAAAGAUAAAUAUUGGAUGAAGAUAUCAGAUUAUUACUGUUCCUGCAGUUGAUUUGGAUGACAAAAAGGUGUUAUGCUUCAAGCGUGACAACCCAAAAUCACAAACCUGCAAGUGAAAUUGAAUAGUCUUUCAUAAGGUGCUUGCUCAAAACAACAAAUUGUAAAGGCAAAUCAUAAUUUAUAUCCUCAUCUUUUGAGCAAAAUGUUAUUGUACAAUAUGUUAGGAAGAGGAAAAAAAAAAGAAGAGUUCUUAAAGAGACGGACAAAACACACAAACAACUUCUUGCACCAUUCUAACCAAUAAGAAGAUGCCGAAACUAUAACUCCAAUUCCAAACUAAACAAGCCAGCAGCAUCUCAGCUUGGCCAAUGCUAAAAGGCUGAAGCAAACACAAAAUCCCUAUUACCCAUUUGUAGGGCACCAUUUUGGUUAAAAGACCAUUAAGUUGUGACCUCUUUUUCUAUAGAAGUUUUAGAGAACAGAUGACUAAUACAACAAGCUUUGAUCAAGGCAGCAACAAAAGACCAGUUGGUGAAUAUAAAGACAUCAAUACUUGAACUGCAACUCAUAAAUCAGCACUAAUCUCAAGGAAGUACACCUAAUUCUAGAAACAACAAGAAAACAAUAGUAGAUAAUUCAAAAUGUUUCAGACAUCAAUGAAGAUUAUUCCACAUUCACAAAUAUACAUGCACAUACGUCAUUUUCUGUUAUACUGAUUAUUUUGAGAAGAAAUAUGCCAAUGAAUCAACAAAGUAAAAGCAAAAUAUACUUUGACAUUCCAGUUUUUAUCAACCAAAAGAUUUGGUGACUUCAAAUCCCGGUGAACGAUUGUUGGUAUACUGGCAUGCAAGCAAUUCAUACCCCUGGCCUGCAACAAGCAAAGACAUUUGAAUCAAACACAAUGAUGUUGAAUGCAGAUCAGAAAGAACAAAGAUUUUAAAAUUCUUGUACCACAUCGAGAGCCAUCUUUAUUCUUCGCUUCUCAUCAAUUUGACAAUGUGGACGAUGAAGAAUCCGGUAUAAACUUCCUCUAUUAAGGCAAACAUCAAUAUAACAACUUUCUUAACAGAAAAAAUUUGUAACUAUGGAAGUAGAAUAAGUAUGAAGCACACACUAGCAAAGUCAUAGUGCUACUAGCAAUUUCUGUUGCUCUGGCAUAAAAUAGAACUGACUAAGAAAAUAUGACCAACAAAAUGAAGGCACAGAGUUAUUACCUUGGAAGAAACUCUGUUAUGAUAGAGAGGUUUGGAGGGCGUGUUACAGCACCCAUGAAGAGGACAACAUUUGGAUGGCGCAAUCUCCGCAUUAUUCGCACUUCUCUUUUGAAUUCAGCUAAAGCAGCACCUGAGAAAUCCUGGUCUAAGAAUUUCUUCACGGCAACCUCCGUGCCAUUCCAAUCAGCAUGAUAAACCUCUCCAUAUGAACCUACUCACAAGAAAAACGUGAGACAGACAAAUAUAAAGGUAGAGAAAGAGACAAGGUAACCAAAAUACGUUGAGAUGCAAUGCAAAUAUUGAAAUAAUACCAAUGCUCACCCUACUAUAAAUAUAUUACAGCUGUAGCUGCAUUAGCAUUAGAAGAUACACUAGUUACAUCUUUCCAAAGGAACUACCAUUAUACCUGCAAAAUGGUCUCCAGCUCAAAAGAAAUAAGGGCCUGAAUUGGUUUUUCCAUUUCAAAAGAUGCUUUGCAGGGAACCAGAUAAACAAAUUUGCCAAGGAAAUGAUGAAAAAAAAAUCUGAAAACAGAUAUUUGUCUAUUACUACCAGAAUAAUUUUUGUGGCUUGAGAACUAAGAAUAAAACAAGAUCCAAACAGAGGCCUAAUUUCACAAAAAAGAUUACCAUAAAAACUUGUAAGACUGAUCAUGUUUAGAGAAUACUUCAUAUUGUAUGUAAGCGCAUGCAUAUUUCACAUUCUUUGUUCCACUUUUAUCAUUUAUAGUUGAAUGCACAUAAGCACAUAUUUGUUGCAAAACAGGCUUAGCCAUGAUGAAACCAUGAUUGGUAAUCACCACACAAAAACCUCAUCUGUCAAAUGUAUUACCUAGUCCAAUCCUCUCACCAAUAACCAAAUCUUCCCAAGGAAUUUCGCAUUCACCAACAUCUACAUCAUCAAAGAUUUGAUCAACCCUGUUCCUGGUGGAAUCAACUGAUGAGCUAGGACUUUCAGGUUCCUUUGGUUUCAGAUUGGUUCCCAAAAAUCUGUCCUGCAUGCACUUUUUCCAAUCAUGGAAACAAAUUUCAUUAUUUUCAUUAGCUUUAAUCAUGACUUCUGCAUCAUUUGUGAAAUUCUUCCCAUCCCUAGGAUUUUCUUCUUUAAAACUUGAGUGUACUUCCUCAACCAAAGGUGACUUGUAGCAUUGAUUGAUGCCAGAAGCCAAAGCUGAAGAGGUACCACUUGAAGAAUUCCCAGCAUCACCAUCUCUCCUGGAUGUAUUCAAAUUAUUGGAUGACUUGAGGCCUUGAGAAUAAACCUUCUCGGACAUAGUAGAGCUGGUAGAAGCUAAUGAUGACUGAUUAUAAUUAUUUGGUUCACGAUUAAUUCUUGGAAAGAGACCCUCUAUAUAGUCAUAUUCUUUUUUCCUGGGAACUUCAUUGUUUGCAUAUCGAUUCUUCCACAUCAAUGGUAUAGGGGGUCGACCAGGAACGGGAUUAUUUUUCUGCCCUUGAAAGUCCUCCACUUUCUUCUCAGCAGGUUUGAAACUUUUGCCAGUUCCUUUGAUCUGGAAUGGAUUAAGAUCUGAAAAAAGGAAUUUUGAAUCCUCUGAGCUAUUUUGACCAUAUGGAACAACAUUAACAUUCAUCCUCACAGCAUCACCAAUUCCAUGGGCUCCACGACUACCCUUGUACAGAGACGAUCCAACAACUGAGGAGGAAAUACUAUCAUGUUGAUUAGAAGGAGCUCCUCUACUAGAUACACCAGAAGAACCAACACCAACAUCACUAUUUGCACCAGAGAAUGAAGCCAAGGGCUCCACACUUUCACCACUCAAUCUUCUAUCCAAAGGCAAACUACCAUCCACUGAAGAGUUCUGACUACUGCCUUCACCCAAUAAUGGCUUUGAUCCAUUAUAAACAAUUCCAGAUUCACUAGAAGAAUGAAGACCAGGGAUUUUACCUAUGGUUGGAUUACAUGAUUUAAAGGUAGUGUCCCUCACACUUAGAACAUCAGCCGGUAUAAGUGUCCCUGGAUCUGCCAUGAGAUCAACCAAAAACUCCCUUUCAUCUUCCAACUUUAUUAUGUUGAUAGCAUCAUCUUCAAUGCCAGUGUAAUGACUACCCUUCACCAAUCGACAGGGUAAUCCCGUAUUGUCCGCCAAUACCUUAAAAAGUAAAGCUCGAUGCCGAGACAAACCAAUAUUAAUGGACCCAAUUGGCAACACACUCGUGUGAAGGGAUGUCCUCAACUCUGUGCUUCUUUCCAUCCACCUUGCCAACAUUAUGUUAGCAUCCUUUACUGGCCCACCCAUAUGUCCUGUAACAAGUUCGGCUAGCCUCUGUACCAAAAUACUGACAUCUGUAGCAGGGCAAUCUAGAGCAAUACAUUGGGAAACUUGCACCAACUCUUCCAAUCCAGGAUCAAUUGCUUGGUUGACUAUUACUGCUUCAAAACCAGAACUUCCACGGUUUGUUUCUAGAUCUGUGAGAGAUGGCAUUUUUCCUUGGACUGCUGGACUUGUGGAGAACACAUCAUAAAAACCAUCCAUUACUUUUUCCUCAUAAUCAAGCACAUUAUAUUCCCAAUACUGCCUUGACAAGGCCUCCGCGGCAGCCUCCCCCUUUUCCCGCCCUACAUCGAUCCGAUGAUGAUUAUGAUGAUGAUUCCCUCCCAAGCUCAGCAGCGUCGCCGCUCGGAUCUGAUCCUUCUCGGGAUCAUCCUUAAAAUCUGAAUUGGACGCGCUGAUCGCCAACGCCAGCUGCACCUGGAACUCCUCCUCUGACGAGAAGUAGUCCGUACGAUUAUUAGAAUUAUUCGCCGCAGGAGGAAUCGUCGUAGCAGUAACGGUGGACACCGGUGACGAAGAUGUUGAAGGAGGACUAGCCGGAGCGUUGCCCGGCGCAGUGCGGGGAUCGGAGGUGUAGGGUGGCGAGGGAGGGGUCUCGUUUGAUCGAUGUGGCUCGUGGCUACUCCCUAUGUGUAGCUUCUUGAAAAUGUGCUUCAUUUCCUCUUUUCUAUCUCUCUUUUAUCUGUCCGCUUUCCCUCGCUUUCUUUCCUUGGGCUUCUUCCUCUUCCUAUUUCAGUCUCCUAAUUAUCAAUUUUCUCGCUGUUCUUUCACUUUCCCUCACUUUCUCUCCGUGUCUGCUGUUUGGCUCUGAGGCUGAAAACAUUGGAACCUCGAGAAAGGAAAGUAAGA